UUUAAAACUGAAUUACACACCAAAAAGACUUUGGAGAGAAAAAACUACAAGCUUCAUUUGGAUGAUGCUGAAAUGAAAAUGAAAUAUUUUUACUUUUUAAAAUGAAAAUAUGUGGGUGUGUUUGGAUUAUUUGCCUUGUGUUUUCCAACAAUGGAAGUAUUUUAUGAAUUUUUAUUCCUUCUUUGCUUGUAGCUUGCUGUAAUUGUGUUAUUUUGAUUCUUUCCACAGUAUUGGCUUUGGUUUCUCAUUUGCUCAGUUCCAGAUCCAUCAGUUUUGAAGUUUCCAUUCCUGUCCCAUGUGUUAUCCACAGUAUUUAAGAUAUGGAUGCAGAAGAUGAGUACUGCAAUCCCAAGUCAUUGAAAACAAAAAAACUAAGUGGAAAUCCAUGGAAAGGAGCUGUGGAAUUUGGACUAUUAAGGUGUAGGUGUGACACAAAUAACUUGAAAAGCCCCAGGAGCAAACGAAGAUGUUGGUUUGGUACCUCUGACCAAAUUACAAUCACCCUUUGGCAUUUUCCUGCAGCCUGACUGCAGCCAUUGCCUGCUGUAGGCCUGCAGGAAUUUUUAAGAAGCAGAUUCAGCAGCAGAGGCAUUGGCUCCUGGAAUCCAUGGUGGAUCUUCCUGUGGGAAAGAGAUGGUGCCUCCUGCUCUGUCCCCUCCGGGCGGAAGAGCCCUCAUUCACUUGUGCACAAUGUGAUAAUUGAGAGGGAGUUUCCUGGAGCUGAAUGCUGCCUGCCCGGGGUCAGCAGCUGCUCUUCCAUCUUGCCUGCCUUUGACAUCCCUUAGGAAGCCCCAGCAUGGAGUUGGAGGGAGCCCUCCGAGCUGAUGAGUCUCUUUGUUGCUAAGAGACAGCUUCUGGAAGAGCAGCAGUCAUCAGCUUGUUGGGAGGGGAUAACGAACUGCGAGUUAAGAAAGUACAACAAGUGCCACAGAAGAUUACACACAUCCUGCCACACUUUGCAGAUGGCUGAUACAGAAAUCAGAGACAAUGCUAAAAUAAUUAAAAAGCUCACAAAAAAAUGAAACAGUGCACUCAGCUCCUUUUGUGAGGCUGUGGCUAAGGAAACAGGCAGCCAGCCUGAAAUGGACAAUAUAAAUGCACUGUGGGGAAAAAAAGGAGACUUACACUUGGAUUGUCUAUGUUAGCCACAUUCCUCAUUGCCUCCAGAGGGAGUUCUGUUCACGAAGUGCAAAGCAGCCCUGGAGGGAGUGGAAGUUGUCCCGCUGGACCAGGAGAAGACUUCCAAGAAGACUUGGAAGAAGUGUCUGAUCCCUGGAUGCUGCAAUCAGCUGAGGUUUCUGCUUGCCACACGUGCCUGAAUGUGACAAGGAGAGAGGGUUUCACUCUCAGCUGGUGAGCAGCUGAGCACCUGUGGAGCCCCGUGCCCUGCUGGAGCAGGUGCCCCUCUGCACACCCAGGCUGAGGUCAUUUCUGCCCACAAACUGGCCCAAAGCUGUCCCCAGCACGGAGCACUGAGGGCUGCUGCAGAUGUAUUGCACUUGCAGGCAGGUUUCCUUUUGGGUGGGUAAGUUUGUUUGUUUACCUUGGAGUAAUUUGUCACCAUUGUCACUUUUGCUCUGAGGCACCUCAGCAUCCUCACCUGGUGGGAACACGGAGCUCCUGCCACCUCUGUGUUUCCAGCCAGGCUGAGGGGGCUGAGGGCCAGGUCUCUGGGAGCUCACAGGUCUGAUAUUUGCCAUGCUGGACCCUAAAUGCAGACAGCCAUGAAGGGCUAUUUCCAGUCUGUGCAGCUCUUGCUCCAGUUUGAUCCCAAAAAGCUUUUCCUGGCUGACCUGAAUUACCUUUUCCUUUUUUAAAUAUGUAAUUUCUAUGACUGAUAGAAAUGUCAAGCACACAGAUGAAG
Molecule: long non-coding RNA, 1864 nt
Organism: Passer domesticus (house sparrow)
Lineage: Eukaryota; Metazoa; Chordata; Aves; Passeriformes; Passeridae
Exons: 5
Source: RefSeq, a predicted model, not a curated record